RNAcentral lists this ribosomal RNA (448 nucleotides) under uncultured bacterium. RNAcentral's name for it is "bacterial SSU rRNA". It matches the Rfam family "Bacterial small subunit ribosomal RNA", at positions 355 to 825 of the family's 1533-position model. The record is from RNAcentral.
UCGGGAAUUUUGGGCAAUGGGCGAAAGCCUGACCCAGCAACGCCGCGUGAAGGAUGAAGUAUUUCGGUAUGUAAACUUCGAAAGAAUAGGAAGAAUAAAUGACGGUACUAUUUAUAAGGUCCGGCUAACUUCGUGCCAGCAGCCGCGGUAAUACGAAGGGAGCUAGCGUUGUUCGGAAUCACUGGGCGUAAAGCGCACGUAGGCGGAUAGUUAAGUCAGGGGUGAAAUCCUGGGGGCUCAACCCCAGAACUGCCUUUGAUACUGGCUGUCUCGAGGUCGAGAGAGGUUGGUGGAAUUCCUAGUGUAGAGGUGAAAUUCGUAGAUAUUAGGAAGAACACCAGUGGCGAAGGCGGCCAACUGGCUCGAUACUGACGCUGAGGUGCGAAAGCGUGGGGAGCAAACGGGAUUAGAUACCCAAGUAGUCCCUGAGCGGGCUGGCAAGGCGCAU